CCAGCACCACCGCCAAACCUGAAGGAGUUGGUGGCGCACAGAUUUGCCAAAGCAAUGGCUACUGAAGAAGACUCCGUUGAACAAGCAGCUGUUGCACGUCGAGAGAGACUGAGGGCUCUCAAAGCUGCCAAGGAACUCUUGGAUACUCCAGAUGAUGACACUGAAACUGCCAAAGAUGAUAAUCCAGGCAUGAAAUUUCGAAAUUAUGUUCCUCAAGAUAAGGAGCUUCAAGAGGGUAAGCUUGCUCCACCAGUGCUACCAAAGUUUGAAGACCCUGUCGCAGCUGCACCCCCACCAUCAGAGAAGACGCAGGAUCCAUUUCUCAACAUUGCCCCAAAGAAGCCAAAUUGGGACCUGCGUAGGGAUGUGCAAAAGAAGCUUGAUAAACUUGAAAGACGCACACAAAAGGCAAUUUAUAAACUUAUGGAGGAACAAGAAAAAGAAAAGCUGCUUGGUGAAGAGGGCAUAACAGCCGAGGAAAAUUAGUGGUAA
This 492-nucleotide unclassified non-coding RNA is filed under the name Hevea brasiliensis (rubber tree). The record is from RNAcentral. Lineage: Eukaryota; Viridiplantae; Streptophyta; Magnoliopsida; Malpighiales; Euphorbiaceae.